GCCAGGUGUGGUGGUGUGUGCCUGUAAUCCCAGUUACUUGGGAGGCUGAGGUGGGAGGAUCACUUGGGCCCAGGGUGUCAAGGCUGCAGUGAGCUGUGAUUGUGCCACUGCACUCCAGCCUGGGUGACAGAGUGAGAACCUGUCUCAA
Molecule: unclassified non-coding RNA, 148 nt
Organism: Pongo abelii (Sumatran orangutan)
Lineage: Eukaryota; Metazoa; Chordata; Mammalia; Primates; Hominidae
Rfam family: Metazoan signal recognition particle RNA
About the family: The signal recognition particle (SRP) is a universally conserved ribonucleoprotein. It is involved in the co-translational targeting of proteins to membranes. The eukaryotic SRP consists of a 300-nucleotide 7S RNA and six proteins: SRPs 72, 68, 54, 19, 14, and 9.
Source: Ensembl